Molecule: transfer RNA, 64 nt
Filed under: Coleoptera sp. 10 KM-2017
Lineage: Eukaryota; Metazoa; Arthropoda; Insecta; Coleoptera
Description: tRNA-His
Source: RNAcentral
AUUUAAAUAGUUUAAUAAAAAUUUUGAUUUGUGGAGUCAAAGAUACAAUAAUGUGUUUUAAAUA